AUAUUUACAUGGCAGAGGAGAUUCCAGGGUCAUGAAGGUGGUUUUCCCAGGGAGAAGUUUAUCCAUUGCACUCCAGUUAUGCUGAACCCCGUAUUUCCCCAAAUGUGGGAAAUUCAACUGUCUAAGUUGUUGUAGUGAGGGGUACAUUUAUGCUCUCCUCU
Small nuclear RNA from Suncus etruscus (white-toothed pygmy shrew), 161 nucleotides. RefSeq annotates it as U1 spliceosomal RNA. Lineage: Eukaryota; Metazoa; Chordata; Mammalia; Eulipotyphla; Soricidae. The record is from RefSeq and is a predicted model, not a curated record. The transcript has a single exon.